GAGGGUAUAGCUCAGUGGUAGAGCGCAUGCUUAGCAUGCAUGAGGUCCUGGGUUCAAUCCCCAGUAACUCUU
Molecule: transfer RNA, 72 nt
Filed under: Camelus bactrianus (Bactrian camel)
Lineage: Eukaryota; Metazoa; Chordata; Mammalia; Artiodactyla; Camelidae
Also listed under: 3 other names
Rfam family: tRNA
About the family: Transfer RNA (tRNA) molecules are approximately 80 nucleotides in length.
Source: Rfam by way of RNAcentral